RNAcentral lists this ribosomal RNA (478 nucleotides) under uncultured bacterium. RNAcentral describes it as "bacterial SSU rRNA". It matches the Rfam family "Bacterial small subunit ribosomal RNA", at positions 573 to 1050 of the family's 1533-position model. The record is from RNAcentral.
AGGCGGUCAAUUAAGUCAGAGGUGAAAUCCCAUAGCUUAACUAUGGAACUGCCUUUGAUACUGGUUGACUUGAGUUAUACGGAAGUAGAUAGAAUAAGUAGUGUAGCGGUGAAAUGCAUAGAUAUUACUUAGAAUACCGAUUGCGAAGGCAGUCUACUACGUGUAUACUGACGCUCAUGGACGAAAGCGUGGGGAGCGAACAGGAUUAGAUACCCUGGUAGUCCACGCCGUAAACGAUGUCAACUAGCCGUCUGUGACCUUGAGUCGUGGGUGGCGCAGCUAACGCACUAAGUUGACCGCCUGGGGAGUACGGCCGCAAGGUUAAAACUCAAAUGAAUUGACGGGGGCCCGCACAAGCGGUGGAGCAUGUGGUUUAAUUCGAUGCAACGCGAAGAACCUUACCAUCCCUUGACAUCCAGAGAAGAGACUAGAGAUAGACUUGUGCCUUCGGGAACUCUGUGACAGGUGCUGCAUGGCU